RNAcentral lists this ribosomal RNA (451 nucleotides) under Salmonella enterica subsp. enterica serovar Kentucky. RNAcentral describes it as "partial 23S ribosomal RNA". It matches the Rfam family "Bacterial large subunit ribosomal RNA", at positions 900 to 1266 of the family's 2925-position model. The record is from RNAcentral. Lineage: Bacteria; Pseudomonadati; Pseudomonadota; Gammaproteobacteria; Enterobacterales; Enterobacteriaceae.
GGGUAGAGCACUGUUUCGGCUAGGGGGCCAUCCCGGCUUACCAACCCGAUGCAAACUGCGAAUACCGGAGAAUGUUAUCACGGGAGACACACGGCGGGUGCUAACGUCCGUCGUGAAGAGGGAAACAACCCAGACCGCCAGCUAAGGUCCCAAAGUCAUGGUUAAGUGGGAAACGAUGUGGGAAGGCCCAGACAGCCAGGAUGUUGGCUUAGAAGCAGCCAUCAUUUAAAGAAAGCGUAAUAGCUCACUGGUCGAGUCGGCCUGCGCGGAAGAUGUAACGGGGCUAAACCAUGCACCGAAGCUGCGGCAGCGAACGUAUCACUUAAAGCGAUUCAGCGGGUUACGAUUGACGGAGCGAAGCGACGUCAAAGCGUAUACAAAGUCGAGUCGGUUUAAGGAUACGUUCGUUGGGUAGGGGAGCGUUCUGUAAGCCUGUGAAGGUGGCCUGUGA